CUGUGGGAAGGACUGUUUUCAGGGAAAUUCCACCCCACAUUUUCCAUACAUAGCAUCAGUGCAUUUCCAUUACCUGAAAUGGAGUCACUUUUGGUUUAGCCUGGUACGAGAUCAGAAUCAGACUCAUUAAAUUUAGCCUUCAAGCUGCCGUCUUUCAUGAGUAGGCUGAUUUAAGCUGGAAAUAAGAGCAUUUAUGCCAGAGUAAGGAUUCCACAUGGAAAGAU
RNAcentral lists this long non-coding RNA (224 nucleotides) under Phasianus colchicus (ring-necked pheasant). Its description in RNAcentral is "lncRNA (ENSPCLG00000011236.1)". Lineage: Eukaryota; Metazoa; Chordata; Aves; Galliformes; Phasianidae. The record is from RNAcentral.